AAAAUUGUGAGGUCAGGUGGAGGUGUUUAUGUUGAUUUUUAGCCCUUUUUGUGAUGACCCAGGUUGAAUACAAAAUUAAAUGUAUUUAUUACAAAACAUAAUUCUAGCAUAAUAUUCAUACGUUAUCAUUAUUACGUAACUGAUCUCACAUCUCUAUCUAUCUAUCCAUCCAUCUCUCGUAAUCUCUGGACUCUCUCUCCUUUCUUUUUCAUCUCGUGUUUUUUUUUCGCUUUUAAGUUUCUCUUCCUGUGGCAUCUGUCUACAUAAUUCAUUCCUUUUAUAGUUACACAUCUCCCCAUACUAAGAUUUCUUAUGUACUGCACGUAGCUCAUUUUGUGUUUAUACUCCAUAAUCCUGCAUAUUGCCAGUGAAGCGGACUUUGCGCCACUAUUUCCGGCAAAGGACCUGGGUAAAUUGUAUAUUUUGUUAUGAAAUAAAGAUGAUUUGUAUAGAGAGGAUAGGAUAUAAAGAUCUCUGGAAAAAUAUUUUUAAAUAUGAUCAUAUCUGAUCUUUGUAGCCUCAUCUAUGAAAUGAUAUUAAUCUGAGCCAACUAUGCAUCUCGUAUAUGCCAAGGAAUUGACAAUAGAUGCCGGAUAUUCUUUUUCUUGUGGAAAAUAUAAUGCAAUAUAAAUAUGAAAAUAUAAUGACAAUCUUAGACAAGAUGCAUAUUUUGCCUUUGAAUAAUUGAUUAUUUUCAAACUUUAGGCUUCACUUCAUUCAGCAAGCGAGCAUACAUAGCAAGGGGUUUGAAAAAAAGGCAACGGUCUUCGUCGACAUGCCAGGAAGCCCAAUGGGAUCACUAUUUGUAUUUGAUAUAAAAUCGUAGCUGAACAGUGAAAGAACGAUAAACAUAACAGGUAAAAUUCACUCUGUGGACAUUUCAUGAUGGGGUGAAAUAUUCAUUAUAUCUGUUUCGGCAUUAAAAAGAAUAACGUUCGACCAAUAGCCACCUGUCUGAUAGCGACUACAUUUUAUUGUUCAUGCCACCAAGUCAUGAACAAUAGAUGCCCAGACUCCCUUUCAUGAGGAAUGUCUAAUCCGCGCUCCCUCCUGACGUAUUAUCGAGGAAAGGAAUUUAGCACAGGAUGUUCAUAGAAAUCGGGCCACGCGCGCGUCUUUUGAUUUGACAAUUGAAUACUUUCAAAGGUUCCGAUACGAACAAUAGCUUUUCUCUCCGUUGAGAUCAAGAUUAAAAUUCCUCUGUCUCUUUCCCCAACACCUUCCAUUGACUUAUUGCCAGGCCUACUUAUUGCCAUUAAAAUACAUAAUUUUUAUUCAAAUAUUUGUUUUGACUUUAAGACAUUUAGCAUCAACAAUAUGCGUCAAAUUUCCCGUAAUCUAAAUGAUGAUGAUGAUGAUAGGGAUGAUGGUAAAGAUGCCAUGGAUAAUGUCGAGAAUGAUAACAAGAAAUCAAGGGGGAACAGCACACCUCCACCACCACGACCACCAGCACAAACACUGGCAUCGUUACUUCCACUUAUCAAAAGCAUAAAGAAAAACAAAUAGUUUAAAAUAAAUAAAUCAACUUGUAGCUGAAGCCUACUUUGCAUAUUUAGAAAUAAAGGAUAAAGAUGAAAUUUAAGAUUGAAGAAAUGUAUAGGCUAUAUAAUUCUUGACAAAUCAAACAUAAAGAAAAUUGAAAGAUAAACGAGGAAAAAGAAAUAACGAAGCGAUGGGGUGUGAAGGUAGAAAUUACUAACAAUUUGUAGAAAUUUAGAUCUUUAUAAUUUGUUGAACCUUUGUUUAUUCAAAUAAUAUGUCUGUAAUGGAUCAUCUAUCGGAAAAGUAAGAUAUUGCUUUCGACAAUAUCAGAAAUUAUAUUUACUACACCUCUUAUUUGUGAUAUCGAUAAUUACCCCGUCAUUGAAAAUAUUAAUCUGGUAAGGAUUAAUUUUACUUCCCCUUUCCUGAAAAAAAAUGAAAUGGACACCAUUUGCUGUUCAAAUUAUAUAUAAAUGACACCACUAAACUUUUUAUAACGUGCAUUGUCAAUAUUUUAUCAUGCGGUAGGACUUAUGCACAAUAAACAUAAUCGAUAUGUUAGUACAUUUAACAUUUUCAAUUAUCAAAUUUGCUUGAUAUAUUUUUUUUUCAUUUAGUAGUAAUCCAGUUUAUGCUACCAGAUUUGCCAUAUGAGCUCAGCGUGUAGGGAUAUAUACCCAUUAUCUUU
This is a long non-coding RNA of Lytechinus variegatus (green sea urchin), 2170 nucleotides long. RefSeq lists it as uncharacterized. The record is from RefSeq and is a predicted model, not a curated record. NCBI's taxonomy places the organism in Eukaryota, Metazoa, Echinodermata, Echinoidea, Temnopleuroida, Toxopneustidae. The transcript has 2 exons.